Zonotrichia leucophrys gambelii is the source of this 129-nucleotide long non-coding RNA. RefSeq lists it as uncharacterized. NCBI's taxonomy places the organism in Eukaryota, Metazoa, Chordata, Aves, Passeriformes, Passerellidae. The transcript is spliced from 2 exons. The record is from RefSeq and is a predicted model, not a curated record.
CCCGGGGCCACGGCGGAGGCCACGGCGGAGACAUGUCGAGCCGCGCCGUGUGCCGCCACUUCAUGCUCAAGGGCAGCUGCAGGUACGAGAACAACUGUGCCUUCUACCACCCCGGCGUCAACGGGCCCC